CCUACGGGAGGCAGCAGUGGGGAAUAUUGCGCAAUUGGCGAAAGCCUGACGCAGCGACGCCGCGUGAGGGAUGAAGGUCUUCGGAUCGUACACCUCUGUCAGCAGGGAAGAACGGUCACUGUGCUAAUCAGCAGUGAAUUGACGGUACCUGCAAAGGAAGCACCGUCUAACUCCUUGCCAGCAGCCGCGGUAAUACGGAGGGUGCGAGCGUUAAUCGGAAUUACUGGGCGUAAAGCGCACGUAGGCGGUAUGUCAAGUCAAGGGUGAAAUCCCCGCGCUCAACGUGGGAACUGUCUUUGAAAAUGGCAAACUGGAGUGUGUGAGAGGAUAGUGGAAUUCCAGGUGUAGGAGUGAAAUCCGUAGAUAUCUGGAGGAACAUCAGUGGCGAAGGCGACUAUCUGGCACAUAACUGACGCUGAGGAGCGAAAGCGUGGGUAGCAAACAGGAUUAGAUACCCCUGUAGUC
Molecule: ribosomal RNA, 465 nt
Filed under: uncultured bacterium
Lineage: Bacteria
Description: partial 16S ribosomal RNA
Rfam family: Bacterial small subunit ribosomal RNA
Source: RNAcentral